UACGAAGGGUGCAAGCGUUACUCGGAAUUACUGGGCGUAAAGCGUGCGUAGGUGGUUUGUUAAGUCCGUUGUGAAAGCCCUGGGCUCAACCUGGGAAUGGCAGUGGAUACUGGCAAGCUAGAGUGCGGUAGAGGGUAGUGGAAUUCCCGGUGUAGCAGUGAAAUGCGUAGAGAUCGGGAGGAACACCAGUGGCGAAGGCGGCUACCUGGCCUAAUACUGACACUGAGGCACGAAAGCGUGGGGAGCAAACAGG
This 253-nucleotide ribosomal RNA is filed under the name uncultured bacterium. RNAcentral's name for it is "partial 16S ribosomal RNA". It matches the Rfam family "Bacterial small subunit ribosomal RNA", at positions 524 to 776 of the family's 1533-position model. The record is from RNAcentral.